Molecule: long non-coding RNA, 359 nt
Filed under: Struthio camelus australis
Lineage: Eukaryota; Metazoa; Chordata; Aves; Struthioniformes; Struthionidae
Description: lncRNA (ENSSCUG00000008735.1)
Source: RNAcentral
UUAUAUGCCACUGUGCUAAAUGAUGUAGGGCCAAAGCUGAGAAAUUGUGGUUUGUUGGCAAAACUCUGCAAGACUCAGGAUAAAUUGUCCUGAAGGCGCUGGCAAUGGGAACAGAAGAUGAGUACGAGUGUGAGAAUGCCUGUGUGUCUUUCAGGACACUGAAAGGAAAGAGUUGUUAGCCCUAGGCAUUUUUCAGAAGGUGUUGAUGAAACUUCUAUGCUGUAAGAAGAGAAAGAAACUCCCACUAGCUGCGGUUAGCAACAAGACUCCUGAAGACAAUGAUAUGUGAAUGAAAAAGACAGGAACUAAUUUUACUCUAUUAUUUAUUGAAUGUCUGGGUGGAUUGACUAAAUGGAAAA